Molecule: microRNA, 24 nt
Filed under: Equus caballus (horse)
Lineage: Eukaryota; Metazoa; Chordata; Mammalia; Perissodactyla; Equidae
Description: eca-miR-8951
Source: miRBase by way of RNAcentral
UUUUUGAAGACAUUCCUAGAAUCC